CCUACGGUUGGCAGCAGUGAGGAAUAUUGCUCAAUGGCCGCAAGGCUGAAGCAGCAACGCCGCGUGAGGGAUGAAGGAUCUAUGGUCUGUAAACCUCUGUAGAGAAGGAAAAAUAACCCAUUAUAUGGGCUUGAUAGUACUUCUAGAGUAAGCCCCGGCUAACUACGUGCAAGCAGCCGCGGUAAAACGUAGGGGGCGAGCGUUGUCCGGAAUCACUGGGUGUAAAGGGUGCUCAGGCGGGUCGAUAAGUCAGAGGUGAAAUUUCACAGCUUAACUGUGAAUGUGCUUUUGAUACUGUCGGUCUAGAGUUCAGAAGAGGGCAAGGGAAUUCUCGGUGUAGCGGUGAAAUGCGUAGAUAUCAAGAAGAACACCAGUGGCGAAGGCGGUUGCCUGGUCUGUAACUGACGCUCAAGCACGAAAGCGUGGGGAUCAAACA
Molecule: ribosomal RNA, 436 nt
Filed under: uncultured prokaryote
Description: bacterial SSU rRNA
Rfam family: Bacterial small subunit ribosomal RNA
Source: RNAcentral